UCCAACCUCCAACACAGUAGAGGGCAGCAGAGAACUAAUCGAACGCGUGGCGUAGAAACUACAGUCUAUGCAAUAUUCGAAGGUUUCUGCUAGUGUGUUGUCGGCCACCAGCAAGACUAUCGUAGUUGUUUGACUGACCGGGAGAUUCGGAGUUUAAAACAAUCUGAAAUAGUUAACUACAACUAUAUAUUUUGUUAUUUCUGAGCACAGUCCCUCGUCUAAUUUUGGACGAUAGUGCACAGCUAACGAGCUAUCUUAACAAACCGAGUUGCGACCAAUAUGGUGUCUUUGAAAAGAGAGAGAGAAAUCGAGUUGGACGACGACGAUGAGGUGCCAGUGAAAACUGGUCGCUCGCACGAUACAGAAGAUCGCAGAAGCCGCCACUGUCCUUAUCUGGACACAAUUAACAGGAGUGUGCUGGAUUUUGAUUUUGAGAAGCUGUGUUCCAUCUCCCUCUCGCACAUCAAUGUCUACGCUUGCCUCAUCUGUGGGAAAUACUUCCAAGGUAGAGGACUCAAAUCCCACGCGUAUACCCACAGCGUGCAGUUCACCCAUCACGUGUUCCUCAACCUGCACACACUGAAGUUCUACUGCUUGCCCGACAACUAUGAGAUCAUAGACUCUUCCCUGGAGGACAUAACGUACGUCCUGAAGCCCACCUUCGCCCGGCAGCACAUCGCUAACCUGGACAAGCAGGGCAAGCUCUACCGCGCCUACGACGGCACCACCUACCUGCCCGGCAUCGUGGGCCUCAACAACAUCAAGGCCAACGACUACGCCAACGUCGUGCUGCAGGCCCUGUCCAACGUGCCUCCGCUGCGGAACUACUUCCUGGAGGAGGAGAACUACCGCGGCAUCCGGCGCCCGCCGGGCGACAUCAUGUUCCUGCUGGUGCAGCGUUUCGGGGAGCUGAUGCGGAAGCUGUGGAACCCCCGGAACUUCAAGGCCCACGUGUCGCCCCACGAGAUGCUGCAGGCCGUGGUGCUGUGCAGCAAGAAGAACUUCCAGAUCACCAAGCAGGGGGAUGCUGUUGACUUUCUUUCCUGGUUUCUCAACGCUCUGCACGGUGCUCUGGGCGGCACCAAGAAGAAGCCAUAGUGCAUCACCAAGGUGUUCCAGGGUUCCAAGAAGCUGCCCCACCCAGAUUUGCCGCCGGAGGAGAAGGAGGCGCUGCUCCUGAAGGAGGAGUACCAGGAGGAGAUGUCCGAGUCCACCUUCCUGUACCUGACCCUUGACCUCCCCACCGCCCCGCUGUACAAGGACGAGAAGGAGCAGCUGAUCAUCCCCCAGGUUCCGCUCUUCAACAUCCUGGGAAAGUUCAACGGCAUCACGGAGAAGGUGACGCCCGCUUCUCGUCAC
RNA transcript from Anguilla rostrata (American eel), 1359 nucleotides. It is a transcript of the gene named ubiquitin carboxyl-terminal hydrolase 39-like, with no coding region annotated. The record is from RefSeq and is a predicted model, not a curated record. The transcript has 9 exons. NCBI's taxonomy places the organism in Eukaryota, Metazoa, Chordata, Actinopteri, Anguilliformes, Anguillidae.